GAAUAAAUUGUGCAGUUUUUAGAAGAGAGACAAUAGACUCAGAGGAUAAUCAGCAUAGGUAGACAAGAACAAGAAGGCCUCUGGGCUCCAGUGUGAGUACCUGAAUGCAGGGGAGGUGGCAACUUUUUCUUUAUUCUUUCCCUCAGAUAGUUCAGACUUGAGUAAAUGAGAGAUGAGAAAGUUUUAUCCUAUAUGCAAAGAAUAAGAACUAUUACGGUAUACUAUCAAUGAUUAAUAGUAGUUAUAUGAGGGUUUUUAAAUUGAGUUAUGAUUGACAUAUAAAAAACUAUACAUAUUUAAUGUAUACAUGUUGAUGAGUUUGAAGAUAAGUAUACAACUGUGAGGCAUCAUAUUGUAAACAUAGAAAUGACCUAUAAAAGUUUCCUUCCUUCUCCUUUUGGUGGUAAGAUCAUUUAAUGUAAGAUACACCUUCUAAAAUUUUACACACACAAUACAAUAUUGUUAAUACAUUCUCUAUGCUACUAGGUAGACAUCUAGGACUUAUUCAUUUUGCAUAAAUGAAACAAUGUACCCUUUGACAAACCAGUCCUUCCCCU
This 557-nucleotide long non-coding RNA is filed under the name Marmota monax (woodchuck). Lineage: Eukaryota; Metazoa; Chordata; Mammalia; Rodentia; Sciuridae. The record is from RNAcentral.